GUCUUUAACCAGUCCAACUCUUGGCAGGUACAGAAUACUAAAGGACCAUUUUAUUUCUAAAUGAGUCUGGAUGGCGCACCACAAAGACUGGAAAUGCUACUGCCCUUUCAUUUUAAAUGCAAUUAAGGACCCCGGUGGAUCCAAUCAAGGAAUCACACGAAUGGCUGAAUAUGGUGGACUUGUGAAAGAUCAGGGCAUUCAGGCUGGUGACAUUCCUCCUGGCGAGCAGAUCCAUCCUGGGCCGGGGGUGAAAAAUGCAGCACCGCGCUACUGCUCAGCUGCAGAUGAAUGGAGCUAUCUGUCUUGUCACGAGGGGUCGGCGGGAGAGGUUACAGCCCAACUGUACCUGGUCUCUGAUGCUGAUGCCUGCACGCCGCUUCCCUUUACAAGAGAAGAAACAGAAAAACAGAAGAGAGGGAGAGACAGAGAGAGGGAGAAACAAAUCCUGCCCCAUCAAGCACUUCUUCAGUCCCUCCAGAGCCCAUCUCACUUCCCAUCAUCCCACAGUCCUGCUGCCCUGAGCGCAGGCUUUGACACAUCUAUAUGUUUUUCCUUCUGA
Long non-coding RNA from Cyprinus carpio (common carp), 559 nucleotides. NCBI's taxonomy places the organism in Eukaryota, Metazoa, Chordata, Actinopteri, Cypriniformes, Cyprinidae. The record is from Ensembl.